Molecule: ribosomal RNA, 286 nt
Filed under: Fulvius variegatus
Lineage: Eukaryota; Metazoa; Arthropoda; Insecta; Hemiptera; Miridae
Description: partial 16S ribosomal RNA
Rfam family: Bacterial large subunit ribosomal RNA (bases 162-286)
Source: RNAcentral
UUUAUUUUUAAUAAUAUAUAAAAUAUAAUUAUGUUUUUAAUUAUUUUAUUAAAAAUUGCAUUGGGGUUAUGAAAAAAAAAUAUUAAUUUUUUUUAUUAUUAGUCAUUUAUAUUUGUUUUUUUGAUCCAAUUUUAUUGAUUAAAAGAUUAAGUUACCUUAGGGAUAACAGCGUUAUUACUUUGAAGAGUUCUUAUCGAUAAAGUAGUUUGCGACCUCGAUGUUGGAUUAAAAUUAACUUCAGUUGUAGCAUUUUGAUAGUUAAGUCCUGUUCGACUUUUAAAUUUUU